UCCCUGGUGGCUCAGACAGUAAAGCGUCUGCCUGCAAUGUGGGAGACCCAGGUUCGAUCCCUGGGUCUGGGAA
Bos taurus (domestic cattle) is the source of this 73-nucleotide non-coding RNA. NCBI's taxonomy places the organism in Eukaryota, Metazoa, Chordata, Mammalia, Artiodactyla, Bovidae. The record is from Rfam.